Molecule: ribosomal RNA, 269 nt
Filed under: uncultured prokaryote
Description: partial 16S ribosomal RNA
Rfam family: Bacterial small subunit ribosomal RNA
Source: RNAcentral
UACGUAGGUGGCAAGCGUUGUCCGGAUUUACUGGGCGUAAAGGGAGCGUAGGCGGACUCUUAAGUGGGAUGUGAAAUACUCGGGCUCAACCUGAGUGCUGCAUUCCAAACUGGGAGUCUAGAGUGCAGGAGGGGAAAGUGGAAUUCCUAGUGUAGCGGUGAAAUGCGUAGAGAUUAGGAAGAACACCAGUGGCGAAGGCGACUUUCUGGACUGUAACUGACGCUGAGGCUCGAAAGCGUGGGGAGCAAACAGGAUUAGAUACCCCUGUA